AUUGAACGCUGGCGGCAGGCCUAACACAUGCAAGUCGAACGGUAACAGGAAGCAGCUUGCUGCUUCGCUGACGAGUGGCGGACGGGUGAGUAAUGUCUGGGAAACUGCCUGAUGGAGGGGGAUAACUACUGGAAACGGUAGCUAAUACCGCAUAACGUCGCAAGACCAAAGAGGGGGACCUUAGGGCCUCUUGCCAUCGGAUGUGCCCAGAUGGGAUUAGCUAGUAGGUGGGGUAACGGCUCACCUAGGCGACGAUCCCUAGCUGGUCUGAGAGGAUGACCAGCCACACUGGAACUGAGACACGGUCCAGGCUCCUACGGGAGGCAGCAGUGGGGAAUAUUGCACAAUGGGCGCAAGCCUGAUGCAGCCAUGCCGCGUGUAUGAAGAAGGCCUUCGGGUUGUAAAGUACUUUCAGCGGGGAGGAAGGGAGUAAAGUUAAUACCUUUGCUCAUUGACGUUACCCGCAGAAGAAGCACCGGCUAACUCCGUG
Molecule: ribosomal RNA, 490 nt
Filed under: uncultured bacterium
Lineage: Bacteria
Description: partial 16S ribosomal RNA
Rfam family: Bacterial small subunit ribosomal RNA
Source: RNAcentral